Molecule: ribosomal RNA, 465 nt
Filed under: uncultured bacterium
Lineage: Bacteria
Description: partial 16S ribosomal RNA
Rfam family: Bacterial small subunit ribosomal RNA
Source: RNAcentral
GACGAACGCUGGCGGCGUGCUUAACACAUGCAAGUCGAACGGAAAGGCCCCUUUGGGGGUCCUCGAGUGGCGAACGGGUGAGUAACACGUGAGUAACCUGCCCUUGACUUCGGGAUAACUUCAGGAAACUGGGGCUAAUACCGGAUAGGAAUCCUUGCUGCAUGGUGGGGGUUGGAAAGCUUCGGCGGUUUUGGAUGGACUUGGGGCUUAUCAGCUUGUUGGUGGGGUAGUGGCUUACCAAGGCUUUGCCGGGAAGCCGGCCUGGGAGGGCGACCGGCCACAUUGGGACUGAGAUACGGCCCAGACGCCGACGGGAGGCAGCAGUGGGGAAUAUUGAACAAUGGGCGGAAGCCUGAUGCAGCACCGCCGCGUGCGGGAUGACGGCCUUCGGGUUGUAAACCGCUUUCAGCAGGGGCGAAGCUUGUGGUGACGGUACCUGCAGAAGAAGCACCGGCUAACUACGUG